UUCCGUAGGGGAACCUGCGGAGGGAUCAUUACUGAGUUACCGCUCUAUAACCCUUUGUGAACAUACCUAACCGUUGCUUCGGCGGGCAGGGGAAGCCUCUCGCGGGCCUCCCCUCCCGGCGCCGGCCCCACCACGGGGACGGGGCGCCCGCCGGAGGAAACCAAACUCUAUUUACACGACGUCUCUUCUGAGUGGCACAAGCAAAUAAUUAAAACUUUUAACAACGGAUCUCUUGGUUCUGGCAUCGAUGAAGAACGCAGCGAAAUGCGAUAAGUAAUGUGAAUUGCAGAAUUCAGUGAAUCAUCGAAUCUUUGAACGCACAUUGCGCUCGCCAGCAUUCUGGCGAGCAUGCCUGUUCGAGCGUCAUUUCAACCCUCAAGCACCGCUUGGUUUUGGGGCCCCACGGCACACGUGGGCCCUUAAAGGUAGUGGCGGACCCUCCCGGAGCCUCCUUUGCGUAGUAACUAACGUCUCGCACUGGGAUUCGGAGGGACUCUUGCCGUAAAACCCCCCAAUUUUUUACAGGUUGACCUCGGAUCAGGUAGGAAUACCCGC
Molecule: ribosomal RNA, 555 nt
Filed under: Colletotrichum sp. 1 ONH-2014
Lineage: Eukaryota; Fungi; Ascomycota; Sordariomycetes; Glomerellales; Glomerellaceae
Description: eukaryotic LSU rRNA
Rfam family: 5.8S ribosomal RNA (bases 213-366)
Source: RNAcentral